This 253-nucleotide ribosomal RNA is filed under the name uncultured bacterium. RNAcentral's name for it is "partial 16S ribosomal RNA". It matches the Rfam family "Bacterial small subunit ribosomal RNA", at positions 524 to 776 of the family's 1533-position model. The record is from RNAcentral.
UACAGAGGUCUCAAGCGUUGUUCGGAUUCAUUGGGCGUAAAGGGUGCGUAGGUGGCGCCGUAAGUCGGGUGUGGAAUUUCGGAGCUUAACUCCGAAACUGCAUUCGAUACUGCGGUGCUUGAGGACUGGAGAGGAGACUGGAAUUCAUGGUGUAGCAGUGAAAUGCGUAGAGAUCAUGAGGAAGACCAGUGGCGAAGGCGGGUCUCUGGACAGUUCCUGACACUGAGGCACGAAGGCCAGGGGAGCAAACGGG